UUGGAGGGCAAGUCUGGUGCCAGCAGCCGCGGUAAUUCCAGCUCCAAUGGCGUAUAUUAAAGUUGCUGCAGUUAAAAAGCUCGUAGUUGAAUUUCGGGACCAAUAUGUCGGUCGUGCCUCGGUACGUACUGGCAUCGUUGGUUUCUCCCUUCUGACGAACCAUGAUGUCAUUUAUUUGGUGUCGUGGGGAAUCAGGACUGUUACUUUGAAAAAAUUAGAGUGUUUAAAGCAGGCUCACGCUUGAAUACAUUAGCAUGGAAUAAUGAAAUAGGACGUUUGAUUCUAUUUUGUUGGUUUCUAGGAUUGACGUAAUGAUUAAUAGGGAUAGUUGGGGGCAUUAGUAUUCAAUUGUCAGAGGUGAAAUUCUUGGAUUUAUUGAAGACUAACUACUGCGAAAGCAUUUGCCAAGGAUGUUUUCAUUAAUCAAGAACGAAAGUUAGGGGAUCGAAGACGAUCAGAUACCGUCGUAGUCUUAACCAUAAACUAUGCCGACUAGGAAUCGGAUGAUGUUAAUUUUUUAAUGACUCAUUCGGCACCUUACGGGAAAC
This 548-nucleotide ribosomal RNA is filed under the name uncultured Glomus. RNAcentral describes it as "SSU rRNA". It matches the Rfam family "Eukaryotic small subunit ribosomal RNA", at positions 548 to 1098 of the family's 1831-position model. Lineage: Eukaryota; Fungi; Glomeromycota; Glomeromycetes; Glomerales; Glomeraceae. The record is from RNAcentral.